This 1806-nucleotide long non-coding RNA is filed under the name Callithrix jacchus (white-tufted-ear marmoset). Its description in RNAcentral is "lncRNA (ENSCJAG00000083062.1)". Lineage: Eukaryota; Metazoa; Chordata; Mammalia; Primates; Cebidae. The record is from RNAcentral.
CCCAUCUCUAGGCGUUAGUCACUUGCCGGCUUCCUUCUUUGAAUGAGCUCAGCUCCAGCCCCUUCCAUUCUCGCAGCUGUUAAGCUCUGGCCACUGCCACCACCUCCUCUCCGAACACCACCACUGGUCUUCCCCUGCCCUGGGCCAGGGCCAGAGCUGGGCUUUGGCUCGGGUGGCCUUUGUGGAAUGCACCAUGGUGACAGCCAGAGCAGCCCCAGCUCUCAGACUCCCCCACCUCCACCCUCAGGAGGCUUGCAGCUGCUUUUUGAUAGGGAGAGCUAAGGCAGACCCCAAACUCUCUGCAAAAGAGGGCUACUUCUCUCUCAUCCCUCCUAGGGGCCCAGAGGACAGGGCAUCAGAAAAUCAGUAAAGGAGAGAGGGAUUGGAAGCAGAUGGGCAGAGAAGCCUGUUGUCACGUUUACCUGCCAUCCCUGGCCUCACCAGUUCUGCCCCACAGGUACUCGCUCCAUCAGGAGAUCCCACUCCAACAUCACCACUUCCCUCUAGGGCAUGCUAGGAACCCCAGUGGGAGCACCUGGCCGAUGUCUCCAAGAUUCAGUCACUGAUCAGUUCCAGCCUCACGGCCCCCUCUAUGACCCUGGGGAGGAGACGGCUGGUGAACCCUCACCAGCACCACACUGGGCUCUGCUGUUAUGUCAGGACAUACCAGCUGGAGAGGGAUGGGGAUAAGGGAUAAGACUCAGGACUAAGGCACAGUCUAGCCCCACACACAAGGGGCGUGCAAACCACCUCUGAGAGAAGCAAAGGAAAACUGUGGGCACCCACUCCCUGCUCCUCCCCAACCCCAGGGUGGGAGGGGGUCGCCCAGCUGAGCAGGAAGCAGCUGGGAACCCAAGGACCCCCUCAUCCAAAGGAAGAGAGUCCCUGAGGCAAAGGCAGGCCUUGACCCAGGGCUGGGAACCCUGGGGGCAGGGAAGACAGAGGCAUGGUGGAAAGCACAGGAGGAGUGAGCCAAUGGGAGGUUGGAGGGUGCAGCCUCUCAGGUGGGAGGGGGAGGAGCAGGGGAGAGCCGGGCUCAGGAGUGCCUGGAGUGGCCAUGGUCCUGCCAUGCCAGGGGAGGGGUUGCCAGCAUUGGCAGGGCUGGGACAGGCAUACCAGAGACCCAGGACAUUGGCUUGCUACCUCUGCAGCCCAAUUCCCCAAGUAGAAAUGCUAGGAAAGGCAUAGGGAGCACUCAGGUGCUACAGGAAGGCUCAAGGCGGCCCUUCCUGAGCCCCUCAGUAACCCGGAGAGCAGAGGAACAGGCUAGGUGGGCAGGACCUCUCAAGACCAAGGCAGCCAGCCCUGGUUGGGAGGGCUUAAAAACUCUGAACAGGGGAGGGGAUAGGCAGAUAGGGUCCUGGGGCAGGGGAAAGGAAGUUCCCUACUUGAGGAACUGGGGCGAGUCUGGCAUCCUGUGAAGCCAAGGCAGCUCUCACUGUGGGCCUGCCCCCAGCAGCCCCCACCCAAGUCUUCUCCAGAGUCCUCAAGCCCACUCCCACCUCCAGAGGAAGCCACCACUUCCUACACCCCAUCUCCAGGGCCCAGCUCUUCGGACAGCCCUCACGGAUCCUCCCAGUCCCCUGUGAAGAGGAGUCUGGAGGCCCUGCUUGUGCAGGGUGGGGAGACCCCAUCUGCCCAGGUGUCAGGGGACCAGCCCCUCCACACCACCCUACCUCUCCUUUCUUGCUCUUGAAUCUUCCACAGACCCCCUCCACUAGCCAUCCCUUGUCCCUGGGGAGCCCUGACUGGGAAGGGGACGGGCAGGCUGGGCAGGACUCCGGUUUCUUGUGCCCGGAAAGACUA